RNAcentral lists this ribosomal RNA (400 nucleotides) under uncultured bacterium. RNAcentral describes it as "bacterial SSU rRNA". It matches the Rfam family "Bacterial small subunit ribosomal RNA", at positions 355 to 747 of the family's 1533-position model. The record is from RNAcentral.
UGGGGAAUUUUGGACAAUGGGCGAAAGCCUGAUCCAGCCAUUCCGCGUGAGUGAAGAAGGCCUUCGGGUUGUAAAGCUCUUUCGGCAGGAACGAAAAGGCCUGGGUGAAUAAUCCGGGUUGAUGACGGUACCUGAAGAAGAAGCACCGGCUAACUACGUGCCAGCAGCCGCGGUAAUACGUAGGGUGCGAGCGUUAAUCGGAAUUACUGGGCGUAAAGGGUGCGCAGGUGGUUAUUUAAGACAGAUGUGAAAUCCCCGGGCUCAACCUGGGAACUGCGUUUGUGACUGAAUGGCUAGAGUGCGGCAGAGGGGGGUAGAAUUCCACGUGUAGCAGUGAAAUGCGUAGAGAUGUGGAGGAAUACCGAUGGCGAAGGCAGCCCCCUGGGUCAGCACUGACGCU